Molecule: ribosomal RNA, 607 nt
Filed under: Leotiomycetes sp. JCM 28455
Lineage: Eukaryota; Fungi; Ascomycota; Leotiomycetes
Description: eukaryotic LSU rRNA
Rfam family: Eukaryotic large subunit ribosomal RNA
Source: RNAcentral
GCAUAUCAAUAAGCGGAGGAAAAGAAACCAACAGGGAUUGCCUCAGUAGCGGCGAGCGAAGCGGCAACAGCUCAAAUUUGAAAUCUGGCCUCACGGUCCGAGUUGUAAUUUGUAGAGGAUGUUUCGGGCGUGGUCUGGUCUAAGUUCCUUGGAACAGGACGUCAUAGAGGGUGAGAAUCCCGUAUGUGACCGGGUGCCUAAGCUCAUGUGAAACUCCUUCGACGAGUCGAGUUGUUUGGGAAUGCAGCUCAAAAUGGGUGGUAAAUUUCAUCUAAAGCUAAAUACUGGCCAGAGACCGAUAGCGCACAAGUAGAGUGAUCGAAAGAUGAAAAGCACUUUGGAAAGAGAGUUAAACAGCACGUGAAAUUGUUGAAAGGGAAGCGUUUACAAUCAGACUUGCGCGCGGCUGAUCAUCCGGUGUUCUCACCGGUGCACUCGGCCGCGCUCAGGCCAGCAUCGGUCUCGGUGGUUGGACAAAGGCCGUGGGAACGUGGCUCUUCGGAGUGUUAUAGCCCACGGUGCCAUACAGCCUACCGGGACCGAGGACCGCGCUUCGGCUAGGAUGCUGGCGUAAUGGUUGUCAACGACCCGUCUUGAAACACGGACC